RNAcentral lists this ribosomal RNA (212 nucleotides) under uncultured bacterium. Its description in RNAcentral is "partial 16S ribosomal RNA". It matches the Rfam family "Bacterial small subunit ribosomal RNA", at positions 29 to 240 of the family's 1533-position model. The record is from RNAcentral.
AGUGAACGCUGGCGGCAGGCCUAACACAUGCAAGUCGAACGGCAGCACAGGGGUAGCAAUACCCUGGGUGGCGAGUGGCGGACGGGUGAGGAAUACGUCGGAAUCUGCCUAUUUGUGGGGGAUAACGUAGGGAAACUUACGCUAAUACCGCAUACGCCUACGGGGAAAGCGGAGGACCUCGGCUUCGCGCAGAUAGAUGAGCCGACGUCGGA